This 408-nucleotide ribosomal RNA is filed under the name uncultured bacterium. Its description in RNAcentral is "partial 16S ribosomal RNA". It matches the Rfam family "Bacterial small subunit ribosomal RNA", at positions 29 to 526 of the family's 1533-position model. The record is from RNAcentral.
AGUGAACGCUGGCGGCGUGCCUAAUACAUGCAAGUCGAACGAAGUGGCGCACGGGUGAGUAAUAUAUAUUUAAUCUGCCCUACACAGAGUCACAACAGUUGGAAACGCCUGCUCAUACCUCAUAGUGUAUGUUGAGCCUAUAUCGUAUCAGCUAGUUUGUAAGGGAAUGGCUUACCAAGGCUAUGACGCGUAACUGGUCUGAGAGGAUGAUCAGUCACAUGGGAACUGAGACACGGUCCAAACUCCUACGGGAGGCAGCAGUAAGGAAUAUUGCGCAAUGGGGGAAACCCUGACGCAGCAACGCCGCGUGGAGGAUGACACUUUUCUGAGCGUAAACUCCUUUUAUCAGGAAAGCGGUACCUGAUGAAUAAGCACCGGCUAACUCCGUGCCAGCAGCCGCGGUAAUUC